CACAUUUCAGUACAAACAUGUGCUUUCUGAAAUUCAUUUUGCUGCUGCUCAUUUCAUCACAUAUAAGUGGUGGCUGUCGGCCCAGUAUCAGUGUUAUAGCAGGACCAAGUGUUUGCUCCGGUCAGGACUUUACCCUCACAUGUCAGUUGGAUUGUGAUGGACCAUCAAGCCAUGUAAAACUGGUGAAAGAAGAACAAAUUCUUGAGUCUUCUAAUAACUGUCUCACCAUACACGUUCACAGUGCAAAUAAGAAUCAUUCAGGAACAUAUAGCUGCCAAACAGAGAAUGGUUCAAAGAGCAGGGUUUAUGUAACAGUGAAAGACUGUAGUUUUUCUUCAACUUACAUAUCAGAAUACUUACCCACUAUAAAUACAACAUCACCCUCUCUGAUUAAUACCACAUACCAA
This is a long non-coding RNA of Sinocyclocheilus grahami, 407 nucleotides long. RefSeq lists it as uncharacterized. The record is from RefSeq and is a predicted model, not a curated record. NCBI's taxonomy places the organism in Eukaryota, Metazoa, Chordata, Actinopteri, Cypriniformes, Cyprinidae. The transcript has 3 exons.